RNAcentral lists this ribosomal RNA (645 nucleotides) under uncultured bacterium. RNAcentral describes it as "bacterial SSU rRNA". It matches the Rfam family "Bacterial small subunit ribosomal RNA", at positions 276 to 947 of the family's 1533-position model. The record is from RNAcentral.
ACGAUCAUAGCUGUCGAGAGGACGAUCAGCACCACUGGGACUGAGACACGCCCAGACUCUACGGGAGGCAGCAGUUAGGAUAUGGACAAUGGGCGCAGCCUGAUCCAGGCCAUGCCGCGUGAGUGAUGAAGGCCUUCGGGUUGUAAAACUCUUUAGCCGAUGAAUAUAAUGAAAGUAGUCGGAGAAUAAGCCCCGGCUAACUUCGUGCCAGCAGCCGCGGUAAUACGAAGGGGGCGAGCGUUAUUCGGAAUCACUGGGCGUAAAGCGUGCGUAGGCUGUUCGGAAAGUCAGAAGUGAAAGCCCAAGGCUCAACCUUGGAAGCGCUUUUGAAACUACCGGACUAGGAUUUGGGAGAGGAUAGCGGAAUUGUCAGUGUAGCAGUGAAAUGCGUAGAUAUUGACAGGAACACCAGUGGCGCAAGCGGCUAUCUGGACCAACAUCGACGCUGAGGCACGAAAGCGUGGGGAUCAAACAGGAUUAGAUACCCUGGUAGUCCACGCCGUAAACGAUGUGUGUUUGUCGCUGGGGGGUUCCCCUUCGGUGACGAAGCUAACGCGUUAAGCACACCGCCUGGGAAGUACGGCCGCAAGGUUAAAACUCAAAGGAAUUGACGGGGACCCGCACAAGCGGUGGAGUAUGUGGUUU